GGAGAGGUAGCGUAGUCUGGCCUAACGCGCGCGCCUGGAGAGCGCGUGUGCCGCAAGGCACCGCGGGUUCAAAUCCCGCCCUCUCCGCCU
RNAcentral lists this transfer RNA (90 nucleotides) under Chloroflexota bacterium. Its description in RNAcentral is "Chloroflexi bacterium (sediment metagenome) tRNA-Ser". It matches the Rfam family "tRNA". From Rfam's summary of the family: Transfer RNA (tRNA) molecules are approximately 80 nucleotides in length. Their secondary structure includes four short double-helical elements and three loops (D, anti-codon, and T loops). The record is from RNAcentral. Lineage: Bacteria; Bacillati; Chloroflexota.